This 869-nucleotide long non-coding RNA is filed under the name Mus musculus (house mouse). RNAcentral's name for it is "long non-coding RNA chr11:78072648-78073517". The stretch from base 352 to 429 matches the Rfam family "mir-144 microRNA precursor family". Lineage: Eukaryota; Metazoa; Chordata; Mammalia; Rodentia; Muridae. The record is from RNAcentral.
GACAAGGCAGGCUCUCCCUGUGCAGAGGAUUCCCUGGACGAGGCUCCAGCUCCACUCCAGCUCCAGGUAAGCAGUCCUUGGAGUGGCUGUCAGCCUGCUUAUAGGUCUGCCCAGAGGGAAGCUCCUGCCUCACAACUUCGUUUCUGCCUGUAACUCUGGAUCCCUAAGAGACCCGAGUAGACCUUAGCUUCCUUCUCUAAGCCACCUGGGGUUAUCCUGGACCACAGGAUCAGGGAGAUGCUGCUCUGGGAGGGAAGUGGAGGAGCAGAGGUAGGGACUUAGGUGUCCCUGACUGACCCUGAGCCAAUCCCCUGGCUCACUCCAGGCCUGCUGCUCACCUCCUCCUCCAGGACCUUGGCUGGGAUAUCAUCAUAUACUGUAAGUUUGUGAUGAGACACUACAGUAUAGAUGAUGUACUAGUCUGGGUACCCCACCUCCAGAGCCUGCCUGGUUUGCAGCAGAGAUGCAGAAGUACACGGGCUCACUGCUCGGCCUAAUCAAGCCUGCUGACAGCUGUGGCACUUGGGAAUGGCGAGGAAACCGUUACCAUUACUGAGUUUAGUAAUGGUAACGGUUCUCUUGCUGCUCCCACAAACUGUGCCAAGAAGAGCUCAUGACCCUGGAGCAGACUGCUGGAAGAAAAGGACACCCAGGCUGACAAGAGAAUGGGGUUGGGGGAAAGGGUACAUUUUCCUCUUCACUGUGCCAAAGAAAUAAAAGAUAAGAAUAAGAGCACUUGUCAUUUAACUUUAUUAGCAUCCGAGGCUGGGUGGUUGGAUGGGAUGGGAGGACCUUUGUGAGUUUAAAGCUAGCCUGAUCUAUGUAGAGAUAGCCAGCCAGUCAGAGUUGUAGGGUAAGAACCCGGUCUC